CAGCCGCCGCGGUAAUACGGAGGUGGCGAACGUUGUUCGGAUUUACUGGGCGUAAAGGGUCCGCAGGUGGUCUUGUGUGUCAGAUGUGAAAGCCCACAGCUUAACUGUGGAAUUGCAUUUGAAACUGCAGGACUAGAGUACUGGAGGGGAGAAGGGAACACUUGGUGUAGCGGUGAAAUGCGUAGAUAUCAAGUGGAACACUGGCGGCGAAGGCGCUUCUCUGGACAGAUACUGACGCUCAUGGACGAAAGUUGGGGUAGCGGAAGGGAUUAGAUACCCCUGUAGUCCCAACCGUAAACGGUGUGCACUAGACGUGGGAGGCUUUACCCCCUUCCGUGUCUGAGCUAACGCAUUAAGUGCACCGCCUGGGGAGUACGGUCGCAAGAUUAAAACUCAAAGGAAUUGACGGGGACCCGCACAAGCGGUGGAGCAUGCGGCUUAAUUCGAUGCAACGCGAAGAACCUUACCUGGGCUUGACAUGAUACUGCAUACGAUCCGAAAGGAACGUAGCCUUCGAGGGUGUAUCACAGGUGCUGCAUGGCUGUCGUCAGCUCGUGCCGUGAGGUGUUGGGUUAAGUCCCGCAACGAGCGCAACCCCUGUGUUUAGUUGCCAGCACGUAAUGGUGGGAACUCUAAACAGACUGCUGGUGAAAACAAGAGGAAGGUGGGGAUGACGUCAAGUCAGUAUGGUCCUUAUGUCCAGGGCUGCACGCGUGCUACAAUGGGUGAUACAAUGGGAGGCUAAGCCGCGAGGUGGAGCAAAUCCUCAAAAUCACCCCCAGUUCGGAUUGGAGUCUGAAACUCGACUCCAUGAAGUUGGAAUCGCUAGUAAAGGUAUAUCAGCUACGAUACCUUGAAUACGUUCCCGGGUCUUGUACACACCGCCCGUCACAUCAUGGAAGUCUGUUGCACCCGAAGUUGUUGAUCCAACCUUUUAUUAGGAGGAAGGCACCUAAGGUGUGAUAGGUAACUGGGAUGAAGUCGUAACAAGGUAGCCGUA
Molecule: ribosomal RNA, 1000 nt
Filed under: uncultured Verrucomicrobiota bacterium
Lineage: Bacteria; Pseudomonadati; Verrucomicrobiota
Description: bacterial SSU rRNA
Rfam family: Bacterial small subunit ribosomal RNA
Source: RNAcentral